AUGGGAAAAGGAGAACCCCCCUCAUACCACUCCAAUGCCAGCCUGGAGCACCAUCCCUCCCCAAUCCCAGCUGUUAACAGUUCAGGUAAAAAAGCCAAGCAYAGGGACAUCCUGCAGCGCAGACGCUGCCCCACAAUAGCAAAUGCAGACAAAGCAAUUAAUCUCCACACAGUUUUGCGUGGGAUACAUUCCGUAUUUUUGGUACCUAAGGAACAAGAAAGGACCACACCCCAUCUUUCCCAAGUGUCUUCCAGCCCUCAGGCUGCUCACGGCAUGGGGCAGAUAUAUACUUUAACACAAAGGGCAGGGUCAGCUCYUGCCUUGAGGAAGCUCCACUCGCAGUUCAAGGACCUUAUGAUGGGCACGAGAACCCUGCUCCCACCACAUCUCCCAGGAGCUGGCCUCACGUCACCGGCUCCCAGCCUCGCAUCCUGGGGGCUGCCCUCCUCGCCCUGCACUGUGGGGCUCACUCCCUGCCCUGCUCCUCUCCCAGACACCAGGCUCCCUUGUCCCAGCUCCCCAUCCCACAGCCCGGGCACCCCCCCUCGCCCCCCAGGGGCCCGGCGCCCACCCCACAGCCUGGACCCCCCACCUCGCCCCCCAGGGGCCCGGCACCCACCCAACAGCCUAGGCUCCCCCUGGCCCCUCAGGGGCCCGGCACCCACCCCACAGCCCGGCUCCCUCCCCUCACCCCACAGAGGCCCGGCGCCCACCCCACAGCCCGGCCGCCCCCCGCCCCCCGGGGUCCUGGCGCCCAACCCACAGCCCGGCCUCCUCCCCUCACCCCACAGAGGCCCGGCGCCCACCCCACAGCCCGGGCCCCCCUCACUCCACAGGGGCCCAGCACCUACCCCACAGGCCGCGGUGUCCCACAUCGCCCCAGGGCUCCCCUGCAUCCCGCCUGGGUCCCGCCGCGGCCCGGGCCUCUCCCCAAACGCCCGCACACCCACCGGGUGGCAGAGGCCGGGUAUCCCCGCCAAAGGGCGCGCAGCCGCGCGGACUACAACUCCCAACAGACCCCGCUCCGGAGGCCCAAGAGCCCCGCCACGCGCGGCACGCCGGGAAUUGGAAUAUCGCGCGGCCGCUCGGCAUGCUGGGAAGUGUAGUCUUCCCCUCCCCGCGCCAUCUCACGGGCGCGAAGCGCAGCGCGGCCCGGGGGCUCGAGCCGUGGGGCCGGGCGCAACUGCACCCUCCUCUCGCCUGGGCUUCGCUCGUGCCAACAUGGGGGCGCAGAGACCCUCCUGCCCGCGAUGGGCCGUGCCUUUGCCCCACCCUGGUGCCGCACAGCUGCGGCAGGGCUCCCUCGCCGCCCACCUCGAGCCUUUCAGGCCACCGCACGUGCAAUGGCGCCUUCACGCCCUGGGUUUGGUCGGCCUCUGA
Molecule: long non-coding RNA, 1380 nt
Filed under: Apteryx haastii (Great spotted kiwi)
Lineage: Eukaryota; Metazoa; Chordata; Aves; Apterygiformes; Apterygidae
Description: lncRNA (ENSAHAG00000009236.1)
Source: RNAcentral